RNAcentral lists this ribosomal RNA (482 nucleotides) under uncultured bacterium. RNAcentral's name for it is "partial 16S ribosomal RNA". It matches the Rfam family "Bacterial small subunit ribosomal RNA", at positions 28 to 507 of the family's 1533-position model. The record is from RNAcentral.
GAUGAACGCUGGCGGCAGGCCUAAUACAUGCAAGUCGAACGAGAUUACGAGGCUUGCUUCUUAUGAAAGUGGCGCACGGGUGCGUAACGCGUAUGCAACCUACCUUAAUCAGUGGGAUAGCCCGAAGAAAUUCGGAUUAAGACCGCAUAAAAACACAGGAUAGCAUUAUCCAAUGUUCAAAUAUUUAUAGGAUUAAGAUGAGCAUGCGUGUCAUUAGAUAGUUGGCGGGGUAACGGCCCACGAAGUCGACGAUGACAAGAGGAUCGGAGAGGAUGACCCCCCACACAAGUAUUGGGACACGGACCAGGCAAAUACGGGAGGGAGCAGUAAGGAAGAUUGUGCAAUGGAGGGAACUCUGACCCAGCCAUGCCGCGUGCAGUAAGACAGCCCUCUGGGUCGUAUACUGCUUUUAGUCGGGAAUAAUCCUUUCGCCGUGUAUGAAGCUGAAUGUACCGAAGGAAUAAGGAUCGGCUAACUCCGUG